This is a non-coding RNA of Drosophila melanogaster (fruit fly), 328 nucleotides long. The record is from Ensembl. NCBI's taxonomy places the organism in Eukaryota, Metazoa, Arthropoda, Insecta, Diptera, Drosophilidae.
CUUCUUCUCCAGCUUACGAAUCUUGUGCAGGCGCGUCCGGACCGGCUCGCCCUCCCGCUCCGUCACUUCGCCGGACUCCGGAUUACUUUGGCCAUCCGGGUUAUUCUCCAUCAAUACUGCGGCCGAAAUGCAAACGAACUGGAAGAGAGCACCCACAUAAAGCCCGUAUCGGAUUAGCAAGCUGAAGAUGUCCUCGUCGCCGUACUUGUCCAGGGCUGCGGCGGCGCCCAGACUGUCCGCGGAAGCCGACAUCGCUGCGCUGGUAUUGUUUAUAAACAAAACCCGCGAGGAUUAGACAAAAAAAAAUAACAACUACAAAAAGUUUGUU